GGGGGAGUAUGGUUGCAAGGCUGAAACAUAAAGGAAUUGAUGGAAGGGCACCACCAGGAGUGGAGCCUGCAGCCUUAUUUGACUCAACACGGGGAAACAUACAAGGUCCAAACAUAUUAAGGAUUGACAGACUGAGAGAUCUUUCUUGAUUCUACUGGUGGUAGUGCAUGGCCGUUCUUAGUUGGUGAAGCGAUUUGUCUAGUUAAUUCCGUUAAUGAAUGAAACCUCAUCCUGCAAACCAGCUAUGCAGAGGUAUCCCUUCACGGCCAACUUCUUAGAGGGACUACGGCCUUUUAGGCCGCGGAUGUUUGAGGCAAUAACAGGUCUGUGAUGCCCUUAGAUGUUAUGGGCCGCACGCGCUCUACACUGAUUAUUCAACGAGCUUAUAGCCUUGGCCAACAGGCCCGGGUAAUCUUUGAAAUUUCAUCGUGAUAGGGAUACAUCAUUGCAUUUAUUGGUUUUCAACGAGGAAUUCCUAGUAAGCGCGAGUCAUCAGCUCGCGUUAACUACGUCCCUGCCCUUUGUACACACCGCCCGUCGCUCCUACCGAUUGAAUGAUUUAGUGAAAUGUUCGGAUCGCAGUGACAUGGGCAGUUCGCUGCACACAAAGUUGUGAGAAGUCCAUUGAACCUUAUCAUUUAGAGGAAGGAGAAGUCGUAACAAGGUUUCCAUAGGUGAACCUGUGAAAA
Molecule: non-coding RNA, 689 nt
Filed under: Solanum lycopersicum (tomato)
Lineage: Eukaryota; Viridiplantae; Streptophyta; Magnoliopsida; Solanales; Solanaceae
Description: Eukaryotic small subunit ribosomal RNA
Rfam family: Eukaryotic small subunit ribosomal RNA
Source: Rfam by way of RNAcentral